UGGGGAAUUUUGGACAAUGGGCGCAAGCCUGAUCCAGCAAUGCCGCGUGUGUGAAGAAGGCCUUCGGGUUGUAAAGCACUUUUGUCAGGAACGAAACAGUGUCCGCUAAUACCGGGCGCGAAUGACGGUACCUGAAGAAUAAGCACCGGCUAACUACGUGCCAGCAGCCGCGGUAAGACGUAGGGUGCGAGCGUUAAUCGGAAUUACUGGGCGUAAAGCGUGCGCAGGCGGCUUUGUAAGACAGGUGUGAAAUCCCCGGGCUCAACCUGGGAACUGCACUUGUGACUGCAAGGCUAGAGUGCGUCAGAGGGAGGUGGAAUUCCGCGUGUAGCAGUGAAAUGCGUAGAGAUGCGGAGGAACACCGAUGGCGAAGGCAGCCUCCUGGGAUGACACUGACGCUCAUGCACGAAAGCGUGGGGAGCAAACAGG
Molecule: ribosomal RNA, 429 nt
Filed under: uncultured bacterium
Lineage: Bacteria
Description: bacterial SSU rRNA
Rfam family: Bacterial small subunit ribosomal RNA
Source: RNAcentral